GCUUUCGUAGUGUAAUGGUGAGCACAUUCGGCGCGUAACCGAGAGGCCAUGGUUCAAUUCCCGGCGAGGGCA
This 72-nucleotide transfer RNA is filed under the name Stegodyphus mimosarum. It matches the Rfam family "tRNA". From Rfam's summary of the family: Transfer RNA (tRNA) molecules are approximately 80 nucleotides in length. Their secondary structure includes four short double-helical elements and three loops (D, anti-codon, and T loops). The record is from Rfam by way of RNAcentral. Lineage: Eukaryota; Metazoa; Arthropoda; Arachnida; Araneae; Eresidae.